GCACAUCUUAUCUCCUUGGAAACAAAUACACAAAACACCAUAUUGAUUGUUUUAUCAGUUGCUAGCAGAUAAGAAUUGGUGCUGACAGUAAUUCAAAGUAUUAGCUCUUUGUGAGGCAAUUUAUUGUGCUUGUGACAAAGCAUAGCCUAGGGAACCUAGAGAUUUAGAGGGUUUUAUUGUAAACCCUUGGAGUCAACACAGUAUCCUGGUCUUUACUGGAGACAGAUCAAGGCUGAAAACAUAACAACCUACUGCACUCACUCUAAGCAUGGUUUGGGAUUCCAACUCUACUCAUCAGGAGACAAAACAGGAAAGAAAUUAUAGAAUGCCUUGAAAUAAUCUAAGAGAUUCAUAGGAAAUUUCCAUUGCAAAGCGGAGUCCUCCAGAUCCAAGAACAUCCAGACUGGAAACUAGAUGGCUUGGAUUGCUUUCUGGAAGGAAGAGAACUUGUAAGGAAGAGAAAUAUCCUGUACACCAUAUAUAAAAGAAGCUCUCUGCACAGGAACUGUCUGGGAGUUUUGUCUUUAUCAAAAAAUGUUCUUCAGCCCCAAGCCUUUACCAUCUAUCUUUCAAAAACUCUUCAAGGAUUUGGUUUUAUUUCCAGCCAAGUCAGAUCACAGGAAUUCCCACUCAUAUUUAUUUCUCUCUCUGUAAGUUCUUCAUGUUCUAUGUGUAAUCUGUCCCCGUGGAUGUUGUAAUGCAGCAACUUUUUUCACGUGAACCAGAAAUUAACCUUUAGUACUUUGGCUCCAGCAGAGAGAUGCUAUUAGUCUUGGUAGCCAUCUGCCUCUCUUGCCCCAUAUUAAAUGUAUUAUCUCCUCA
This 822-nucleotide long non-coding RNA is filed under the name Capra hircus (goat). RNAcentral describes it as "lncRNA (ENSCHIG00000002569.1)". Lineage: Eukaryota; Metazoa; Chordata; Mammalia; Artiodactyla; Bovidae. The record is from RNAcentral.